Molecule: ribosomal RNA, 252 nt
Filed under: uncultured Bacteroidales bacterium
Lineage: Bacteria; Pseudomonadati; Bacteroidota; Bacteroidia; Bacteroidales
Description: partial 16S ribosomal RNA
Rfam family: Bacterial small subunit ribosomal RNA
Source: RNAcentral
UACGGAGGAUUCAAGCGUUAUCCGGAUUUAUUGGGUUUAAAGGGUGCGCAGGCGGUCUGUUAAGUCAGCGGUCAAAGCCCGGGGCUCAACCCCGGCCCGCCGUUGAAACUGGCAGUCUCGAGUUGGAGAGAAGUAUGCGGAAUGCGCGGUGUAGCGGUGAAAUGCAUAGAUAUCGCGCAGAACUCCGAAUGCGAAGGUAGCAUGCCGGCUCCACACUGACGCUGAGGCACGAAGGCCAGGGGAGCGAAAGGG